GUGGGGAAUCUUCCGCAAUGGACGAAAGUCUGACGGAGCGACGCCGCGUGAGUGAAGAAGGCCUUCGGGUCGUAAAGCUCUGUCAUCAGGGACGAAUGGCCGGUGGAGUGGAAAGCCACCGGAUUGACGGUACCUGAGAAGGAAGCCACGGCUAACUACGUGCCAGCAGCCGCGGUAAUACGUAGGUGGCAAGCGUUGUCCGGAAUUAUUGGGCGUAAAGCGCGCGCAGGUGGGAUCUUAAGUCCAUUUUGAAAGUUCGGAGCUCAACUCCGUGAUGGGAUGGAAACUGGGAUUCUUGAGUACCGGAGAGGAAAGCGGAAUUCCCCGUGUAGCGGUGAAAUGCGUAGAUAUGGGGAGGAACACCAGUGGCGAAGGCGGCUUUCUGGACGGUGUCUGACACUGAGGCGCGAAAGCCAGGGGAGCGAACGGGAUUAGAUACCCCAGUAGUCC
RNAcentral lists this ribosomal RNA (450 nucleotides) under uncultured bacterium. RNAcentral's name for it is "partial 16S ribosomal RNA". It matches the Rfam family "Bacterial small subunit ribosomal RNA", at positions 354 to 796 of the family's 1533-position model. The record is from RNAcentral.